RNAcentral lists this ribosomal RNA (443 nucleotides) under uncultured bacterium. RNAcentral describes it as "partial 16S ribosomal RNA". It matches the Rfam family "Bacterial small subunit ribosomal RNA", at positions 338 to 795 of the family's 1533-position model. The record is from RNAcentral.
CCUACGGGAGGCAGCAGUGGGGAAUAUUGGACAAUGGGGGGAACCCUGAUCCAGCGACGCCGCGUGAGUGAAGAAGUAUUUCGGUAUGUAAAGCUCUAUCAGCAGGGAAGAAAGAAAUGACGGUACCUGACUAAGAAGCCCCGGCUAACUACGUGCCAGCAGCCGCGGUAAUACGUAGGGGGCAAGCGUUAUCCGGAUUUACUGGGUGUAAAGGGAGCGUAGACGGCGAUGCAAGUCUGAAGUGAAAGGCGGGGGCCCAACCCCCGGACUGCUUUGGAAACUGUAUGGCUGGAGUGAAGGAGAGGUAAGUGGAAUUCCUAGUGUAGCGGUGAAAUGCGUAGAUAUUAGGAGGAACACCAGUGGCGAAGGCGGCUUACUGGACUGUAACUGACGUUGAGGCUCGAAAGCGUGGGGAGCAAACAGGAUUAGAUACCCGAGUAGUC